Molecule: ribosomal RNA, 461 nt
Filed under: uncultured bacterium
Lineage: Bacteria
Description: bacterial SSU rRNA
Rfam family: Bacterial small subunit ribosomal RNA
Source: RNAcentral
GAAUUCACUAGUGAUUCAGGCCUAACACAUGCAAGUCGAGCGGUAGAGAGAAGCUUGCUUCUCUUGAGAGCGGCGGACGGGUGAGUAAUGCCUAGGAAUCUGCCUGGUAGUGGGGGAUAACGUCCGGAAACGGACGCUAAUACCGCAUACGUCCUACGGGAGAAAGCAGGGGACCUUCGGGCCUUGCGCUAUCAGAUGAGCCUAGGUCGGAUUAGCUAGUUGGUGGGGUAAUGGCUCACCAAGGCGACGAUCCGUAACUGGUCUGAGAGGAUGAUCAGUCACACUGGAACUGAGACACGGUCCAGACUCCUACGGGAGGCAGCAGUGGGGAAUAUUGGACAAUGGGCGAAAGCCUGAUCCAGAAAGGCCGCGUGUGUGAAGAAGGUCUUCGGAUGUACAUUUAAGGGAGUUGGGAGGAAGGGCAGUAAAUUAAUACUUUGCUGUUUUGACGUACCGACAGA